CCUACGGGCGGCAGCAGUGGGGAAUUUUGGACAAUGGGCGCAAGCCUGAUCCAGCUAUUCCGCGUGUGGGAAGACGGCCUUCGGGUUGUAAACCACUUUUGUAGAGAACGAAAAGUUUGUUGAUAAUACCGAUAGAUGAUGACGGUACUCUAAGAAUAAGCACCGGCUAACUACGUGCCAGCAGCCGCGGUAAUACGGAGGGUGCGAGCGUUAAUCGGAAUUACUGGGCGUAAAGGGUGUGCAGGCGGUUUUGCAAGAUGGAUGUGAAAGCCCCGGGCUUAACCUGGGAAAUGCAUACAUGACUGGAAGACUAGAGUGCGUCAGAGGGGGGUAGAAUUCCAGGUGUAGCAGUGAAAUGCGUAGAUAUCUGGAAGAACACCGAUGGCGAAGGCAGCCCCCUGGGACGCAACUGACGCUCAUACACGAAAGCGUGGGGAGCAAACAGGAUUAGAUACCCCGGUAGUC
Molecule: ribosomal RNA, 465 nt
Filed under: uncultured bacterium
Lineage: Bacteria
Description: partial 16S ribosomal RNA
Rfam family: Bacterial small subunit ribosomal RNA
Source: RNAcentral